GAUGAACGCUGGCGGCGUGCCUAAUACAUGCAAGUCGAGCGAACAGACGAGGAGCUUGCUCCUCUGACGUUAGCGGCGGACGGGUGAGUAACACGUGGAUAACCUACCUAUAAGACUGGGAUAACUUCGGGAAACCGGAGCUAAUACCGGAUAAUAUAUUGAACCGCAUGGUUCAAUAGUGAAAGACGGUUUUGCUGUCACUUAUAGAUGGAUCCGCGCCGCAUUAGCUAGUUGGUAAGGUAACGGCUUACCAAGGCGACGAUGCGUAGCCGACCUGAGAGGGUGAUCGGCCACACUGGAACUUAGACACGGUCCAGACUCCUGCGGGAGGCAGCAGUAGGGAAUCUUCCGCAAUGGGCGAAAGCUUGACGGAGCAACGCCGCGUGAGUGAUGAAGGUCUUCGGAUCGUAAAACUCUGUUAUUAGGGAAGAACAAAUGUGUAAGUAACUAUGCACGUCUUGACGGUACCUAAUCAGAAAGCCACGGCUAACUACGUG
This 497-nucleotide ribosomal RNA is filed under the name uncultured bacterium. Its description in RNAcentral is "partial 16S ribosomal RNA". It matches the Rfam family "Bacterial small subunit ribosomal RNA", at positions 28 to 507 of the family's 1533-position model. The record is from RNAcentral.